Tachyglossus aculeatus (Australian echidna) is the source of this 138-nucleotide small nucleolar RNA. The record is from RefSeq and is a predicted model, not a curated record. Lineage: Eukaryota; Metazoa; Chordata; Mammalia; Monotremata; Tachyglossidae.
UCCCUCUCAGGAUAGCAAUUGGAGAGUUUCCAGCACUCUACCAGUCUCUGCUAUGGGAGGGAGAGUCAAGCAGAGGCAUACCCAUUCCAUUCCGAGCUUGGGCAGUGGUUAGUAAGUUGAAGGUAAUCUGCCUCAAGU